This 513-nucleotide ribosomal RNA is filed under the name Fodinibius sp. RNAcentral's name for it is "bacterial SSU rRNA". It matches the Rfam family "Bacterial small subunit ribosomal RNA", at positions 140 to 648 of the family's 1533-position model. Lineage: Bacteria; Pseudomonadati; Balneolota; Balneolia; Balneolales; Balneolaceae. The record is from RNAcentral.
GGGAUAACCCACCGAAAGGUGAGCUAAUACCGGAUGAUGCAGCGGGGCCGCAUGGCCACAGUUGUUAAAUCCUUCGGGAGCCUAAUGAUGAACCUGCGUGCCAUUAGUUAGUUGGUAGGGUCAAAGCCUACCAAGGCAAUGAUGGCUAGGGGGUCUGAGAGGAUGAUCCCCCACACUGGGACUGAGACACGGCCCAGACUCCUACGGGAGGCAGCAGUGAGGAAUCUUGCGCAAUGGAGGAAACUCUGACGCAGCCACGCCGCGUGCUGGAAGACGGCCCUAUGGGUUGUAAACAGCUUUUACUAGGGAAGAACCUGGGCCUUUCGAGGACCACUGACGGUACCUAGUGAAUAAGCACCGGCUAACUCCGUGCCAGCAGCCGCGGUAAUACGGAGGGUGCAAGCGUUGUCCGGAAUCAUUGGGUGUAAAGGGUGUGCAGGCGGAAGUCUAAGUCGGAGGUGAAAUCUUGCCGCUUAACGGUAAAAGUGCCUUCGAAACUGGAUUUCUUGAGUU